GGGAACUGCGUGCCGGCAGCCGUGUUAAAAGUUAGGGGAAAAGGGUUCUCCGGAAUUACUGGGCGGAAAGCGGACGGAGGCGGGUGCUUAAGUCUGACGGGAAAGCUCCUGGCUGAACUGGGAGGGGUCGUUGGAAACUGAGUAGCUUGAGGUGGUGAGAGGGGUGCAGAAUUCCCGGGGUAGUGGUGGAAUGCGUAGAUAUCGGGAGGAACACCAGUGGCGAAAGCGGCUCUCUGGUCCACACCUGACGCUCAGGUGCGAAAGCGUGGGUAGCGAACGGGAUUAGAUACCCGUGUAGUC
This 300-nucleotide ribosomal RNA is filed under the name uncultured Caldanaerovirga sp. RNAcentral describes it as "partial 16S ribosomal RNA". It matches the Rfam family "Bacterial small subunit ribosomal RNA", at positions 496 to 795 of the family's 1533-position model. Lineage: Bacteria; Bacillati; Bacillota; Clostridia; Thermosediminibacterales; Thermosediminibacteraceae. The record is from RNAcentral.